GAUGAAGAACGCAGCGAAAUGCGAUAAGUAAUGCGAAUUGCAGAAUUUCCGUGAGUCAUCGAAUCUUUGAACGCACAUUGCGCCCGCCAGUAUUCUGGCGGGCAUGCCUGUUCGAGCGUCAUUACAACCCUCAGGCCCCCGGGCCUGGCGUUGGGGAUCGGCGGAGCCCCCGUGGGCACACGCCGUCCCCCAAAUGCAGUGGCGGUCCCGCCGCAGCUUCCAUCGCGUAGUAGCUAACACCUCGCGACUGGAGAGCGGCGCGGCCACGCCGUAAAACACCCAACUCUUCUGAAGUUGACCUCGAAUCAGGUAGGAAUACCCGCUGAACUUAAGCAUAUCAAUAAGCGGAGGA
Molecule: unclassified non-coding RNA, 352 nt
Filed under: soil metagenome
Description: partial contains 5.8S ribosomal RNA, internal transcribed spacer 2, and large subunit ribosomal RNA
Rfam family: 5.8S ribosomal RNA (bases 1-121)
Source: RNAcentral